Cyprinus carpio (common carp) is the source of this 1206-nucleotide long non-coding RNA. RefSeq lists it as uncharacterized. The record is from RefSeq and is a predicted model, not a curated record. NCBI's taxonomy places the organism in Eukaryota, Metazoa, Chordata, Actinopteri, Cypriniformes, Cyprinidae.
AACUAGAGCUGGUGGGUCCACGAUUCAAAGAGAAAGUGCGAAAGCACGUCAUUUACGCGGGAACAUCUCCCGGCAGCUGCCAAUGUAACAACAGCGUUCUGCAGAAGAAAAUAGUCUUUACAAGUCGUACUAUGAAGAUGUUGGUAAAAACAUGGAAACAUACGUUUUUAACUUUAUUUUUUAGCACUAUACUGGACCUCCUUACGUUAGGCGAGGGCUUGCAGUGGAGUAAGAGAGGAAAACUUUAAAACAUACAAUAAUCGGAUUUUUAUGUCGGCUUCUAAGAACAGCCUGGAGAUUCAUGUGCUGCUGUGGACAUGAUAACUCUGACGUUCAGUUCUCAGUUGAGGAGACGGAGCCACCUCUUGGCGUCAGCACUGUGAGACCAUGGAAUUAUGCUGAAGGUGGAGGCAUUAUCAGGACAGUUUAGAACACUUGAAUCAAGAUUAAGAAACAAAUUUAAGUUUAGAACUUAUGAGAUGGAGGAUUGCCCCCCUUGAAAUCAUUGUCGCCCCAGCCACAUCUUUUGCAAAUUCCCGAGAGAAGCUGAUGUCGAGGUGGGGCAGAGUUACUGGCGCUCAUGCCCCAUGCAUGAAGAAGUGGUUCUGGACCUAUGCUGGGUUUGGUUUGGUCCAUUCAGAGCAGCAUUAGAGCACAAUCUUGAUGGUAAAAGAGAGCCAUGCCACGUGUUUUCACUAAGAUUUAAUUUGACCAACAGUGAUGAGAUUUCUGAUGUCAAAUGAAUUCAAUCCCUCAUUCAUUCCUGCUUCAUCUUAAGCAAGAAUAUCAGAGCUGGUAUACAGCACACAAGUUUAUACCAAAGUUCAACGAGAAUAUUUAAAGCCAGUUAGUAAGUAUAUUUCAUCUCUUUCAAAGAAAAUGGUCCCAAAAAAAGUGAAAGCAUCAAGCUAUCAAAUUAUGCACAGACUGAAUGUAAAUAAAUACAUUAUUGGAGUAUCAGCGUACUUGAAAGCAUAAUAGCUAACAUUUUGUGCCUCCGCAUUUCAUAAAUAUUGUUCCUCACUCAUCAUUUGAAAACAUGACAGUGGUGUCUGAUAGAAUCAUUCUUUACCAUACGGUGGGAAUAGAAUCAGCCCUCUUUAAAAUAAUCACAUUUUGUUGCCUUGCAACCUGAAAUGAAGAUGGACACAAUUUUUGUUUUAUCCAGCUGUAUCUACAUCCAAGUGAAAGAUAAAACACCAACAU